UGCAAGCAUGAAAACAGGUACCUGAUGUGAAUGAUUAGUAAGCUGGAAGAAAGACAAUCAGAUGUAGAUUUUCUGCUGGGUAGACGGUAGCCAAUGAAGGAAAAAGUAACGGAACCAGCAGAUAUUCAGCCUCAGGAAAAAGGAUAAGAAAUCUCUAGAGUAGACAUAGUAACAUCUUACAGUGGCAUAGCUCUUAACAGUUUAUCAGUCAGGGUAAUGGUAUAACCACCUCGUAACACAUAAAAAGUCCCGAGGUCCAGAUGGGUUGAUUAUACAGUAAGAAAUCCAGAUAUGUUAGUCUGGCAGUAAGUAAGAGCCUCCAACUACUUUUAUUACCUUCUCAACUCACCACAGCUGUCCCUAACUAGAGAGGUACUAAAGGCAGAGGAUCCAGGGUCAAGGUUUUCAAAACUCUGACAUACCCACAAGGGUGGAGUAGACUGACAAUCAGCAAUUGUGCUUCAUUUUAGUAUCAACUGUAAUGGGGAAGAAAUAGUUGAAAAUUUAAAAAAUAUAUACCAAACGGUGAUGGGUUAUUUGUAAAGAACUCUCAUGGCUUACAUAAUGAUUUUAUUAUGAGAUAAGAGGCUUAUAUGUAACAUUUUUAAGUUAGGGUAAAAUUGGUGUUCAAAAAAGUCCACAGUUGAUUAUUUACCUUUCUAUUAAAGACAGUGACCUUAAAGCAAAAGAGUGCCUCAGCCACCUAGGACUUAGAGAACUCUCGAAUUUCUUCCUCCUUUCUCCCAUCUAUUUAUAGAUUUUCUUUUAUAUGAUAUAUAUCUUCCCAAAAAAUUAAGUGAAAUUUUAUUUUGUAUAAAUCAAAUAAUAUUUCAAAUACAUUAAGGGACUAUAUGAUAAAGGAUCCUUGAAGUAAAUCCUUCUUGUUUUCUCAUCUGAAACACCACUCACUAAUUUAUCUUUUGUAAACUGAUUUACACAUAUCUUGUGUUGCAUAACGCAGCACACGGCCUUAAAGGUUCUAUGGUGCAGUCUUUACCUCAGACUGUAUAAAAGAAAGGACUCUCUAGUUCUGAGCAGGUCUAUAGACACUGGAGUGAUCAUUUUCAGUCAGUUUCAGUUAGGGAAGUUAUUUAUCUGGACUAAUACGAAAAAUACUAUUAAAAUAAUACGAAUGGAUAAAGUUGACAAGUUAUAUUUUUUCUAGUUAUUGGUUUAAACUAUUGUCACCUAUCAUAGCGUCAAAGCUACUAUUAAGAAAUCAAAAUGAACCCAAAUCCCUUGGAUCCAUACUAGAUUUACUGAGUCAGAAUCUCUGGAGCUAAUCUCUAAGGCAUGCUAAAUUUUGCAAAAUAUUAUUCAGAUGAAUUUACUUUUGCCAAGCCAUUCAAUUGUUUUUUAUUCUAGUCUAAAAUUCUUCUUGUGCUUUCCUAUUCCAAUGUGAAUCUAGUUUGCUAAGCCUGGAUGAACAUUUUUCUUGAUUAGGAGAAUGUGCAACAAAGGACAACUAUACAUAAAAUGGUCAGGUUUUUCCUGAUAAACUGUUAUUUAUAGAUUUUGCUCCCCGCUAGCUCUUUCAACAGAAAUCUCUGAAAACUAUCUUAAAUCAGCUGGGUUAUUCACUUAUUACUUGCUUUCAUGGAUAAUAAUAUAACUGUUGAAGAGCUGGAGGUGGGGAGAGAAGAAGGACUAAUUUAUGAUGUAAUAGGCAUUGUGUUGUCCUCAUUUCAUUCUCAAACCAUCUUAGGAAACAGGUAUAACCACCAUUUUAAAAAAAGGAAAAUAAGAAUCAUGGUAGCUGAAUAAUUUGCCAAGGCUUAUAUAGUAGAGCUGGGGAUUCAAAUCCAGUGCUCCUGACUCUAAGGAUGUGCUCCUACCACCCAAUAGCACAUUUUCAAAUGUUAACGAAGACCACAAUCAAUAUAAUUAGGGCUCAUAUAUUUUAAUAAGGGGUGUGGAGAUAGGAGGAAAAGAAUGUACUUUCCUAUUCCUAAACAGAAAAAUUACAUAAGCUAUUUCACAUUGUGUAGAGAUUUCCUUCAAUAUCCCAAGUCCACAACUUAAUGGAAAGAAAUAUCUAUUAUUUUCUUGAAGUUUUAUACAUUGUUUCCUAAAAAGCAUGAACAUUUGAAAGAAAAAAUCCUUCAAAUAAUAAAUACUCCCAGGGCUUCCCUGGUGGUGCAGUGGUUGAGAGUCCGCCUGCCGAUGCAGGGGACAUGGGUUCGUGCCCCAGUCCGGGACGAUCCCACAUGCUGUGGAGCAGCUGGGCCCGUGAGCCAUGGCUGCUGAGCCUUCGCAUCCGGAGCCUGUGCUCCGUGACGGGAGAGGCCCGCAUACCGCAAAAAUAAAUAAAUACUCCCAAAUACUCAUGUUUUAUUUUCAUUUCCAAUUUUUCUAGCAUAUUAUAAACUUAUGACAAAAACAUGAUAAGUAGAUAUCCAUAAUAUAAACUUCAACUGGCCAAAGAUGGAGGGAAGGUUGUCAAUUGAAGCAAAAACUAUAUAGACAGUCAAUAAAGUAACGAGUGCAAUGACAAUGUGAAAAAAGACCAAUCAUCUACAGUCAGAAAACGUUGACUGGCAAUGACAUGGCUUAGAGGUUGCAGAAUAUUUCCUUUGAUGAUUUUAUAUGGGGAUAUUUUCUGUAGAAGUAUCAUUACUUACACAAAUGAUAUGGAAUCUAGGAGCAUGUUACAUAAAGGAGGCAGGACGAUAACCUCUAUAACAAUGUACAUUCUGCUUGUCCUGUUACUCAGAACAUAUUCAAUAAUAUAUAGUUUAAAUUAAAAAUAAAUAUAAUUUUCCUUGUGAAGGUAAUACAAAUGUUUUCAUCAUUAUGUGCAGGUGGCCAAAUAAUUUUUUUUACAUUUAUUUUUAAAUUCACAUCAUCAAAUAAAUCUUCCUUAGUUUCAGCUAUUAACAAAUGAUUAUUAAAUAGCGGCUACUGGGCUUCCCUGGUGGCGCAGUGGUUGAGAGUCCGCCUGCCGAUGCAGGGGACAUGGGUUUGUGCCCCGGUCUGGGAGGAUGCCACGUGCCGCAGAGCACCUGGGCCCGUAAGCCAUGGCCGCUGAGCCUGCGCGUCCGGAGCCUGUGCUGCGCAACGGGAGAGGCCACAACAGUGAGAGGCCCGCGUACCGCAAAAAAAACAAAACAAACAACAACAAAAAAAAUAGCGGUUACUAUUCAUUCCAUUAGUGUCUCUAGGAGCAUUUUAUUAAACCACUGGACUAACAGUCUCUCCUAUUUCUCCCUGAACUUGCACAAGCCCAAGGUAAUAUAAUUGGGAAGUUACAUUAUCAUUUUACUCCAUCACACUAUCUGAAUAUGUAACAUCCAUGUAAAAAACAGUUUUUAAUAAUCCACAUGGGAUUCAAGAGCCAGUAAAAUACUGUAAGUCAAAAUUCUACUAAAAAUUGCCACUACUACAACUGUGAUAAAACUAUAUGCUAUAAAUGUAAAACAAUUAAUAAAUCCAGCAAAGAAAGAAGCUCUAGCAUCCUGAAUCUAAUAUCAUUACAUCUGUUCAUCCUGGCACCACGACCACCAUACAGAAAUUAUAACUGAAAUAUCUAAAGUAAUUCUGAUUUGGAACAGCAAAGUUGCUCCUUGUAUCUGGGCUGAAGAUGUGAUAAAGGACAAUGAAGAAGACAAAAAAAACUACACAUACCGAGAGAUACAUAAAGACAAUGCCCUAAACAGUCUGAUGAAAACAUGGUGAAAGACUGGAUCAACCCUAUUCGUUCUGCUCUACUAUAACGCAAUUACUGGAAUAGCAUGUCCACCGCAGUCGGAAGCUGGAAAUAUGGUUUCUAAAGUCCUCUCUAGCAGUUCUUGACCAAGAUACUUGUAAUAUUCAUUAUCUAUGGGUGUUAUUUUAUAUUCAUUUAUAAAAUAAGGAAAUUAUUGCCUUGAGACAAGAGCCUAGAGACCCAUCCCAGCUCUACUCUGACUACAUUUAUAACAAAGAGGUCUAAGGAAAGACACUGAAUAUCUCUGAACUUCAGCUAUCUGGAGAAAAACCUGAGAUCUUUGUGAGGUGGACAGUUUUUCACCUUUGGAUUUGAUGAAAUCUUAAGAUCAGUGUACUGGACAUCCUUCAAAACUCUUUGCCAGUUCUUCCUUAACAAACUCCAAACUUGAGUUUCUUGAACCAUUGUUGGAUUUUAGACAUGCCUAUUUCACAAUGAACCCUUGUCGUACUUCAUCAUUUUCUGGAAGAAUAACAUAAGGCUGGGGUAGUAGCCCUUAUUAAUGUUUUCCUUGCAUUUGAUUCCAGUUAUGGAACAAAAAUGUGUGAACUAAUAUGACACCUUGGUACUACCAAAAAGGGAUAGGAAGAAGUGUCUUUUAACAGAUAAAUACUUUAAGUAAUAUAAAACAUGUAGUUUGGGGUCACUUCUUUUAAAUUUAAUAAUCAAAUAUAGAUUUCAGAUAAGUAUAUGCCUUCAAGCUACUCUGAAUAUAAACAUAAUUCUCUAUAAUGAUGACAUAGUUUUAUUGUCAUAUACUUUCACUUUCUGAGGGCAGACAAUUGACUGUGCUCUAUAAUUGCCACCAGAAUUUAAUUAUUUCCAGAAAUAAUGACUUAGUACUAAGCACUUUAAAACAAAAUGAUAAUAAUUAACACUUAAUGUUUACUUUUCUAAACAUUUUACUUGUAUUAAUUCAUUUAAUACUCAUUAAUAUGGUUAACAGGAUUAAUAAUAACCCUAUAAAGUAAGUACUAUUGUUAUCCCUUAAGAAGAUAAGGAAAAUGAUGAUCAAAGUGACUAUGUAUUGAUAACAUACAGCUUCUAAAUUGUGGAACAAGAAUUAAAAUUCAGAUGAUAUACAGACAAACUGACCCCUACCAACUGCCCAUUUAAAGUCGGCUUCAUAAGCCAAAUACUUAAAAUUCUAUUCACUUAAGGCUACAACUGAAGACAUCAAUAUAAUGGAUGUGUUUAUUAGAUAACCAAUAUAUGUCAAGUGGAAAGAAAGAAUCUUCGAGAGAUAUAAAAAAGUAUACGAUAUAGUCCUCGUUCUCAAGGGACUUAUAGUCUCAGCAAAGAGAAAAGGCAUUCAUAUUAAGAAAAAAAAAUCAAGUUAAAUUGAAUACCUGUAAGUGCAGACGGCAAUCAGAAGAUGAAAUCAAAGUUAGCAGAGUUGUUGGGGAUAAUUCUGGGCAAAAGUGAGAACUGAGAUAGAAAUAUAGAAUGUAAGACUAACAGCAUUCAGAUGGGUAAAAUGAAGAGAGGAAAGUGAAGAAAGAACACUGUGUUUUUAUUUAUGUACAUUUGUUACUCCAAUAGUAUUUGUUAGAGUCGUGCUUGUCUGGCAUAGAAACACCAAACUCAAUUUUUGUCCUGACUGCCUAAAAGUUCGGACCCAAAUUUUACUCUGGCCACAGCAAACUUGUGGCCUUUCUAGAUGGACGUAAGUAUUUCCCAACUUUUCCUCAACUCUAUUUCUCUUUAUAUUGCUAUUUAUUCACUGUAUUUUAUUUUUCUUUGGGGCGGGGAGGUGUUAAAUAGUAUUAAUCCUUUGUGGGAAAUGUUAUAUCUGUUUCAUUAAAAUGUUCAUAACGCAUUUUGAAGACUGAUUCAGACAACUUUAUUAAUUUAAAAUAAUUAUGUGAAUUAAAUCAAAUAAUUUCUUAGAAGCUAAUAAUUAUAACAUCCUCAGUCAAAUUACUGUUCGGCAUCAGGUGAAAAAAUGGCCUACCAAUUGACUGACUUUUUCUUUUUACAACCUCUUCAGUCUUUAUGUUAACCUUGGUAAAUAUUAACCAUAAUUUUUAUUCCAAAAAGUAAACACAACUUUUACUUUUGAUUGCUCCAUUUCACAAAUAAAGAAACUAAAGUAGAAUAUGAUUAAAGGUCAUGAUCAAAAUCACUUUGGUAACAGAAAACAGACCCACUAAUAGAAUUCACAUUUACUCAAUAUUAAUAUUCACUACAGUAAAAUAUUUCAUGAACACAUCAAAAUUUAACAAAAUAAGCAGAAUUAUUUCUGCCUUAAAAGUACAGACAGGGCUUCCCUGGUGGUGCAGCGGUUGAGAAUCUGCCUGCUAAUGCAGGGGACAUGGGUUCGAGCCCUGGUCUGGGAGGAUCCCACAUGCUGUGGAGCAACUGGGCCCGUGAACCACAACUACUGAGCCUGCACGUCUGGAGCUCGUGCUCCGCAACGAGAGGCCGCGAUAGCGAGAGGCCCGCGCACCGCGAUGAAGAGUGGCCCCCGCUUGCCACAACUACAGAAAGCCCUCGCACAGAAACGAAGAUCCAACACAGCAAAAAUAAACUAAUGAAUUAAUAAACUCCUACCCCCAACAUCUUAAAAAAAAAAGUACAGACAGCUGUCAAUAAAGUUGUUAUAUUUAAAAAGUACAAAUGAGGUUGAGAAACAUUCUCUAUCAAAUUUUGCUUAUCAUUUGGACUAUUAACUUGCAGCUAUCUCUGUGGCCACUUGAUAGUUAUAAAUUUUCAUUCACAGGUAUUUAUUCUGAGUGCCUGUUCUUUUCUAUAGGGAUUAUCCUUUAUAUUAUAUCAAUUACUUUGGCAUUUUUAAUUCAAUUCAAUCAAAUAAGUAUUUAUUCAGCUUUUACUAUAACAUGCAAGGACUAAGAUAGGUGAUAAAGUGACCAAAUGCUUAAAAGUGAAUAAAUAAUUGCAAUUCAGUGUGAUAUUUCUAAAAAUGAAGUAUAUGCAUGAUGCUAUAGGAUUGAUGGAGAAAGAAUAAUUAAUUUUGCUGGAAGAAAAUCUGAAAAGUCCUCAAAGUAAAUGCCAUUUGAGACUCUGUAAUCUCAAGUUUGCCAGUCACACAACUCAUACCUGUCCUGCAGGAUCCACUCCCCACUCCUAAUGAAAGUUGGGAGGUAUUUUAGAUGUUUAUGAGUAUUACCUUCUAGAAAUCUAGAACUCUGAUAGUUUCUGAGUCUAGUAUUUUCCUCAGAUAGUUAGCUACUCCGUUUCUUUCCAUGUAUAAAUACUAAAGAAGAUUUUUAAAAAUUUUCCCCUUCCACAAUCUUCUAAAUUUAAUCCUUCAAUCAAAAGUAUUCAAUUUAGCCAUUCCAUUGUAAAUUCAGGACAUAUGAAUUUUGUUAAAUAAUAAGUAAAUAAGUGUAAUGGAUUGUCAGAUGUUUUUAUUUUGCUUUAACAUGCCCCAUGCAAAUCCAGUGUGUGUGUGUCAAAAAGGCUAUAUUGCAGUUCUAACCUCAGGAAUAUGUGAAAAAAUGUAGAAGAGGUAUAUUUGCCUGUGCAAUUUAAAUGUUCACCACUUACUGGUUAUGACAUGACUGAUAUUAAAGUGAAUGAGAAUUAGGUUAUAAAUAGGGUCUUUUCUAUUCUAUUCUAUCAAACAAUUCUUUUAGAAAGUGAAAAAUAUUAGUAAAGUGGUCAGUUCAUCCGAUACAGCAAUGAGCACUGUUGCUCUGGUAGCUGCUCAAUAUCAUUAACUUUUCAUUUCUUUAAAUAUGUUUUUCCCUUAACAAACUCCUCUCUUUAUGAGACUACCAUUAUUCCCAAAGGAUUUCACUGUUUGGUGCUUAAGGCAAUUUCUUAUUAAAUUCUCAAGAAUGCAACUUACAUUAAGCUGAGGCAAAAGAGUUGAAGUGAAUUCAGUAACUAGUUCAAGGCACAGUUUUCUGAUCUUCCCACUUAUAAAAAUGAAUAUAUUUUAAUAUUAGAAUUCCAGAAUAUAACAAUAUUAACAUGAAGAGAGCUCAUCAUGAAGAAUGCUAUUUUAGUGGAUGCCAAAGAACUUGUUUCUUAGUGGUCUCCUAAAAUAUUCUUGUGGAUUAUGAAGAGUGUGCAGUAUGGCAAGGGCAGCCAUGACAAUCCUAUAUGUGGAAAUGAAAUGUAUAUUAUAUUCAAAUAAUCUUUUUCAAAAAUAAAUUACAUAUAAAUUUUUACUCUAGAUAGUCAUCUAUAGUGUGGCCCAUGCUAUAUUGUAGUAAAUGAGCCCGUAAACCUGAGUUCAUUAGACUGGAACUAUCUACUAUAUUAAAUACCUAAAAUAUUCUUAGUAUGAGUACGUUGGAUAUUAUCUUUGAAAUGUUACAUAUGUAGGAUGUAUAAUUUUUUCCCAUUUUUAAAAUUUUGUAUAUUUUUUUAAUGACUAUAAAAUUACAACAGCCUUUAGGGUUUCUGAAGUUUCAUGACUGUCCUUAAUUCCUAUCAAAGAGCAGCAAAAUCUAGCCUGAGAAACUCCAGUUGGUUUACAAAGAAAAGUUGCUUUUCAUUUUAUGCGGCCCUGUUACAAUUAGUGUGAAAUACUGACACUUACAUUCCUGAGUGCAAUAAGAGCAGGAUGGAAUGGUUAUGGCAAAUAAUUGGACAGUCUCCAGAGAGGCUGUGAGAAAUACUAUUAGACCUCCAUCUGCUGGCUGGAAAUUCCAGGUUCAUAGGGUUUAAUGCUAGCUAAAAUAAAAGGCUUUGAUGAUUUCUACCACUCCUUUUCAGGCUUGUACCCACCCCAUCUACUUCCAAAAGGACUUGUGACAAUUUAUGGACUAAAACAUCUGCAUAAUUAAAUAUUUUAAGCUAGUGAUCACUAGAAAGGCUACAUUUUAUUAUUUCUGUUAAAUUUCUUAUUGCAUAUGUGUGCUCACAUAGUGAGCAAGGGUGAUAAGACUUGAAGAGGAAAAGUUUAUAUUAAUUUAUCUUGCAACAUAAAUUUUCCAAUUAUACAGUAUUAUGCAGUUCUAUUAGCGCACCAAUAUGGUUCUGUUUUAACUUAGUUCCAGAUCUGACAACCAAACCUAGUUUUCAAAGUAAGUCUUUUUUUCAAUAAAUUGAAUAUCCCAGUGCUUUAAAAAAUUCAGAUAAGGCUCAAAGCUUCCCUUUUAAAAAGAUCCUUUGACACUUUUCAUAAAAGGAGCUCUUUGCUUGUGGCUGGAUUUUAGGACUUCCACGAAUCCCUUGAACAUUCAAUGACUUGGCUUUACGUAACUAUAUGUGUGUAUUUAUGAAAGAUCCAGAAGCUUGCUAAUGAGAAUUGCUAAAAUAAAUAUAUAUAUUAAAAUAUAAGAUUAUUUCUGCCAAACCAUUAUGUGAUACAAAGUCAUCCACUGGGGUGUAUUUACAUGUGUUACUGUAAUGGACAGUAAGACAAAAAGAAAUCCACUGAAGGACAUUCCUUCUUCUGUCUAGAGUUAUGGUAACCCAGAGAACACACCAAUCUCCUCAGGAAUACCGGUAUAAAUUUUUAAUACGUGAAAAAUAUCCACACUAUUCACCUGUGACUGCUUAUGAAAUUCCCAAAUGGUAAGGUUCUUACCAAAGCAAACCCCGAAGCAUCUAGCAUUUGAGCUAUUUCAUUCCAGAGAAAAAAAAUUAAAAUUUUUUUUAGAAAUAAGAGUAACUGUUAGUAAUAAAUUAUGUCCAAGUCACUCCAGCACAGUGUAUUUCAAUCACUUCAGUAUUUUUAUCUCCCCAAAAAGUGUCAGAAAUGAGACAUGAAAAACUAUUAACUGAAUCAUUCACUCACUGAAUAGAUGUUGUUGUCAGUUUGUUCUUUGGAUGGAAAUAAUGAACAACUGAUUUAUUUAUAACUGGUAAUUAUGAUAAUACAUCUUCAUUUUCCACCCUUUUCAGUAUAUUAUAGAUAUUUUAUAAUUGUCUUAUUUCAUACCAGAUCUAAAAUCAUAAGCUUCCAUAAAAAUUUCUUCUUUCCCAGGCUUUUCCAUAGUUUCCUUUGAUUUGGGGUGUAAUUAAAAUAUUUUAACUGA
Molecule: long non-coding RNA, 9663 nt
Organism: Globicephala melas (long-finned pilot whale)
Lineage: Eukaryota; Metazoa; Chordata; Mammalia; Artiodactyla; Delphinidae
Source: RefSeq, a predicted model, not a curated record